Molecule: non-coding RNA, 94 nt
Filed under: pig gut metagenome
Description: THF riboswitch
Rfam family: THF (Tetrahydrofolate) riboswitch aptamer
About the family: THF riboswitch presents a pseudoknot that joins P1-P2 and the loop of P3 and two THF binding.
Source: RNAcentral
GCAGAGUAGCUGCAAGCGCGUUAAGUGUUCAUGAACGGGGAGUUGUCAUGAAACGAAGCCUGGAAAGGCGCGGUGGUUGCGGCGCAUCCCGCUG